AUAAAUUAAACUUAAUAAAUUAACAAUUAAACUAAACUAAACUAAAAUACAAUUAAACAAAAUAUACAGCAAGAUCCGGCAAACCCCAACCCAGUUUCCGGCAAGACCAAUUCGAACAAGGAGCAACAUCCAAAUCCUCCAACACAGGCAAACAUCAAGAUCUGAAAUUAAAACCCCAAUCCAAAAAAUCCAUUCAUCCUAACAGAUCAUAACUUCAAACAGAGAAGAGAUGGUGGGACGUAAGGAGGAAAGGGAGGGGAGAUCAAGUGGAGAUGCCAUCGCCGGAGAAUUCCAAACCAGAUCCAAAACCGCCAUCGCCGGAGAACUCCAAACCAGAUCCAAAACCAGCAAGACCCUACAAAUCAUUCCCUACCAAAAUUCCAUCCAUCCUAACAGAUCAUAACUUCAAACAAAGAAGAGAUGGUGGGCUGUAAGGAGUGGUUAUUUAAAUGCCAAAGCCAUCUUAUAGUGGGCGGAGCUCACUUUCUGAAUAUGAGACUUUUAUUCUACUAGAUGCUUGGGGGGACAUGUUUCUUCAGCGUGGAAGCCAGGAGGAAGAGCCUUCGUUGAG
RNAcentral lists this long non-coding RNA (571 nucleotides) under Panax ginseng (ginseng). Its description in RNAcentral is "long non-coding RNA (PGIN_LNC016132)". Lineage: Eukaryota; Viridiplantae; Streptophyta; Magnoliopsida; Apiales; Araliaceae. The record is from RNAcentral.